This 253-nucleotide ribosomal RNA is filed under the name uncultured bacterium. Its description in RNAcentral is "partial 16S ribosomal RNA". It matches the Rfam family "Bacterial small subunit ribosomal RNA", at positions 524 to 776 of the family's 1533-position model. The record is from RNAcentral.
UACGUAGGGUGCGAGCGUUGUCCGGAAUUACUGGGCGUAAAGAGCGCGCAGGCGGUCGGAUCAGUCGAAUGUGAAAGCCCCCGGCUUAACUGGGGAGGGUCAUUCGAUACUGUUCGACUCGAAGGCAGGAGAGGGAAGUGGAAUUCCCGGUGUAGUGGUGAAAUGCGUAGAUAUCGAGAGGAACACCUGCGGCGAAGGCGGGUUGCUGGGCUGACACUGACGCUGAGGCGCGAAAGCGUGGGGAGCAAACAGG